AUUGUAAAGUUUAAACCAAAUUUAAAUGCUUCAUUACUGAAGUACUUCUCAAAGAUUUUAGUAAACUAAUGGGUGUUGUGAAUCUAUAAGAGGUAGAUUCCACACACAACAUUUAGGACAGUCUCCUAAUUAUAUGAGUGCAAAACCUCUUCCUUUGGUUGGUUGGUUUUACCAGCACAUUCCAUGGAAUCUGUGUUUCAAGAGACAUAUUUUUUUUUUAAAGAUUUUAUUUUUUUUCCUUUUUCUCCCCAAAGCCCCCCGGUACAUAGUUGUAUAUUCUUUGUUGUGGGUCCUUCUAGUUGUGGCAUGUGGGAUGCUGCCUCAGCAUGAUUUGGUGAGCAGUGCCAUGUCUGCGCCCAGGAUUCGAACCAAUGAAACACUGGGCCGCCUGCAGCAGAGCGCGUGAACUUAACCACUCGGCCAUGGGGCCAGCCCCUCAUGAGACAUAUUUUGAGACAAGCUUUUAAGUGUGUUUUGUUAAAUUCUAAUUCUCUAAAAACUGUAGCUAUAUGCAUGUCAUAUAGGUUUAACCUUUGCUUCCCAGCACAUCUAUAUUUCCAGACAAUUCCAAAUUACCUAGAGAUGGAUGGACGGAUGGAUGGAUGGAGAGAUGGAAAAGAAGGAAGGAAGGAAGGAAGGAAGGAAAACAGAAAGGAAGGAAAGAAGGAAAAAAGUUAGUACUAGUCUUUAUUUUGUAUACAGCAGGCACUUAAUUAUGUAAUUGAUAAAGAGAAAAAUAGUCUGAAGGCUUAAAAGUAUUUGAAAGUUGCUUCUGUCAUAAGGCAAUUUUCUUUCCCAAGCACUUUCUUUUUUAAAUUCUGAAGAGUAGUUGCCAGAUAUCCAGACAUGAGGCGCUAAACAUAGAACCCACCAGAAUACCAUCACUCAUGUUCUGGGUAUGUGCUAAUUCAUAAGGAGUGGAAGCUCAUUAAAUGGAUUCCUCACGUGCUCAAGUUCACAAGUCUACAAAAUGGGAGCAGUUAGUCAGCCAGCCCCACGUAUGCUUUCUACUUGCCUAGGCAACAGCAAGAGUUCCUUCGCUAGAGCUGACGGCAGUCUAAGCAGCCAAGCUUGAGAUCAUCUGCAUCUGCCUCUGGGAGAAGAUUAAUUAGUUGGCUAUUCCUAAAGGAUGGAUUUGAGCAGAUCAAAGGUCCUCAAAAUGUAAUGGAGACAGAACUAAACUGUGGAAAUGUGCUCUUUGGAGGAAUAAAGAUCAAAAUUCGUUUGGGGAGUGUCACAGUGAACACGGUAUGCUCUGUUUUUCUUUCUUUUCUUUCAGAAAAUAAAAGCUCCUGCCAGGAUACAAAUAUUUAAUUUAUACUGCAUUUUAUUAGCCUUCUCUUUGAAGGGCUACCACUUAAAAUUUUUCUCUCUUCCUUAUUGGAUAAACACAUAGAAGACAUGUUUUAUCUAAGGCUGUAUACAGAGACCUAUGAGAAACUUUGUAGUGAAAAACUGUUACUGUCCAAAGGGUGUCCUUUACUCACCGCAAGACAUGCCAAUAGGCAGGAGGCAAGGUGGUAGGAGAGAAAAGGUUUCUUUGUUACAGCUUGCUAGCAAGAGGGAACAUGGCAGACUAAUGUCAGAAAGAACCAUCUUACGGAAGAAAGACUACAGGCCAGUUGUACACGGGGCUGGUCUCCAGGUGGGGAAGAUAUCUG
This 1661-nucleotide long non-coding RNA is filed under the name Equus caballus (horse). RNAcentral's name for it is "lncRNA (ENSECAG00000049694.1)". The record is from RNAcentral. Lineage: Eukaryota; Metazoa; Chordata; Mammalia; Perissodactyla; Equidae.